Molecule: ribosomal RNA, 484 nt
Filed under: uncultured bacterium
Lineage: Bacteria
Description: partial 16S ribosomal RNA
Rfam family: Bacterial small subunit ribosomal RNA
Source: RNAcentral
AUUGAACGCUGGCGGCAGGCCUAACACAUGCAAGUCGAGCGGAUGAAGGGAGCUUGCUCCUGGAUUCAGCGGCGGACGGGUGAGUAAUGCCUAGGAAUCUGCCUGGUAGUGGGGGAUAACGUCCGGAAACGGGCGCUAAUACCGCAUACGUCCUGAGGGAGAAAGUGGGGGAUCUUCGGACCUCACGCUAUCAGAUGAGCCUAGGUCGGAUUAGCUAGUUGGUGGGGUAAAGGCCUACCAAGGCGACGAUCCGUAACUGGUCUGAGAGGAUGAUCAGUCACACUGGAACUGAGACACGGUCCAGACUCCUACGGGAGGCAGCAGUGGGGAAUAUUGGACAAUGGGCGAAAGCCUGAUCCAGCAAUGCCGCGUGUGUGAAGAAGGUCUUCGGAUUGUAAAUCACUUUAAGUUGGGAGGAAGGGCAGUAAGUUAAUACCUUGCUGUUUUGACGUUACCAACAGAAUAAGCACCGGCUAACUUCGUG